This 492-nucleotide ribosomal RNA is filed under the name uncultured bacterium. RNAcentral describes it as "partial 16S ribosomal RNA". It matches the Rfam family "Bacterial small subunit ribosomal RNA", at positions 29 to 507 of the family's 1533-position model. The record is from RNAcentral.
AGUGAACGCUGGCGGUAGGCCUAACACAUGCAAGUCGAACGGCAGCACAGUAAGAGCUUGCUCUUACGGGUUGCGAGUGGCGGACGGGUGAGGAAUACAUCGGAAUCUACUUUUUCGUGGGGGAUAACGUAGGGAAACUUACGCUAAUACCGCAUACGACCUACGGGUGAAAGCAGUGGAUCUUCGGACCUUGCGCGAUUGAAUGAGCCGAUGUCGGAUUAGCUAGUUGGCGGGGUAAAGGCCCACCAAGGCGACGAUCCGUAGCUGGUCUGAGAGGAUGAUCAGCCACACUGGAACUGAGACACGGUCCAGACUCCUACGGGAGGCAGCAGUGGGGAAUAUUGGACAAUGGGCGCAAGCCUGAUCCAGCCAUACCGAGUGGGUGAAGAAGGCCUUCGGGUUGUAAAGCCCUUUUGUUGGGAAAGAAAAGCAGCAGGUUAAUAACCCGCUGUUCUGACGGUACCCAAAGAAUAAGCACCGGCUAACUUCGUG